RNAcentral lists this ribosomal RNA (482 nucleotides) under uncultured bacterium. RNAcentral describes it as "partial 16S ribosomal RNA". It matches the Rfam family "Bacterial small subunit ribosomal RNA", at positions 28 to 507 of the family's 1533-position model. The record is from RNAcentral.
GAUGAACGCUAGCGGCAGGCCUAAUACAUGCAAGUCGGACGGGAUUCAGGAGCUUGCUUCUGAUGAGAGUGGCGCACGGGUGCGUAACACGUAUGUAACCUACCUUUAUCAGGGGGAUAGCCUCUCGAAAGAGAGAUUAAGCCCGCAUAAAAUCACAGCACAGCAUUGUGUAAUGAUCAAAUAUUUAUAGGAUAAAGAUGGGCAUGCGGAACAUUAGCUAGAUGGCGGGGUAACGGCCCACCAUGGCGACGAUGUUUAGGGGAUCUGAGAGGAUGGCCCCCAACAAGGUAAAAGAGACAGGGACCGGACGCUUACGGGAGGCAGGAGAAGGGAAUAUUGUAAAGGGGGAGGAGGCCUGACCCAGCCAUGCCGGGUGAAGGAAGCCGGCCUUCGGGUUUGUAACUUGUUUUUAUAGGGAAAAAACCCAAGAUACGGGUAUCGGGCUGAAUGUAGUGAAAAAAAAAGGAGCGGCUAACGCCGUG